This is a non-coding RNA of Lentinula aciculospora, 89 nucleotides long. Lineage: Eukaryota; Fungi; Basidiomycota; Agaricomycetes; Agaricales; Omphalotaceae. The record is from the annotation of a GenBank genome assembly.
GUCCCCGUCGAUUAGUGGUUAGAUCAUCACGUUGUGGCUGAUACAAGUAACAAUCCGUGAAGACGCAGGCUCGACUCCUGCCAGGGACA